RNAcentral lists this ribosomal RNA (830 nucleotides) under alpha proteobacterium SCGC AAA288-I19. RNAcentral's name for it is "SSU rRNA". It matches the Rfam family "Bacterial small subunit ribosomal RNA", at positions 31 to 915 of the family's 1533-position model. Lineage: Bacteria; Pseudomonadati; Pseudomonadota; Alphaproteobacteria. The record is from RNAcentral.
GUACGCUGGCGGCACGCCUAACACAUGCAAGUCGAACGCAGUAGCAAUACUGAGUGGCGAACGGGUGAGUAUAAUGUGGGUAUCUGCCUUUUGGUUUGGAAUAACAUGAGGAAACUUGUGCUAAUACCGAAUAAGCCCUUACGGGGAAAGUUUUAACGCCGAAAGAUGAGCCCGCACUUGAUUAGCUAGUUGGUAAGGUAAAAGCUUACCAAGGCUACGAUCAAUAGCUGAUCUGAGAGGAUGAUCAGCCACAUUGGGACUGAGACACGGCCCAGACUCCUACGGGAGGCAGCAGUGGGGAAUCUUGCACAAUGGGGGAAACCCUGAUGCAGCGAUGCCGCGUGAGUGAAGAAGGCCUUUGGGUUGUAAAGCUCUUUCGUCGGGGAAGAAAAUGACUGUACCCGAAUAAGAAGGUCCGGCUAACUUCGUGCCAGCAGCCGCGGUAAUACGAAGGGACCUAGCGUAGUUCGGAAUUACUGGGCUUAAAGAGCACGUAGGUGGUUAGAAAAGUUGGUGGUGAAAGCCCAAGGCUUAACCUUGGAACUGCCAUCAAAACUUUUUGACUAGAGUAUGAUAGAGGUAAGCGGAAUUUCUAGUGUAGAGGUGAAAUUCGUAGAUAUUAGAAAGAACACCAAUUGCGAAGGCAGCUUUCUGGAUCAUUACUGACACUGAGGUGCGAAAGCAUGGGUAGCGAAGAGGAUUAGAUACCCUCGUAGUCCAUGCCGUAAACGAUGUGUGCUAGACGUUGGGAAUUUAUUUUUCAGUGUCGCAGCUAAAGCGUUAAGCACACCGCCUGGGGAGUACGACCGCAAGUUAAACUAAUGAUUGCG